AGAACGAACGCUGGCGGCAUGCCUAACACAUGCAAGUCGAACGAGACCUUCGGGUCUAGUGGCGCACGGGUGCGUAACGCGUGGGAAUCUGCCCUUCGGUUCGGAAUAACUCAGGGAAACUUGAGCUAAUACCGGAUAAUGACGUAAGUCCAAAGAUUUAUCGCCGAAGGAUGAGCCCGCGUAAGAUUAGCUUGUUGGUGAGGUAAAGGCUCACCAAGGCUACGAUCUUUAGCUGGUCUGAGAGGAUGAUCAGCCACACGUGGGACUGAGACACGGCCCAGACUCCGUACGGGAGGCAGCGAGG
Molecule: ribosomal RNA, 304 nt
Filed under: uncultured soil bacterium
Lineage: Bacteria
Description: bacterial SSU rRNA
Rfam family: Bacterial small subunit ribosomal RNA
Source: RNAcentral